GGGCUCAUAGUAAAGUGGUAUUACGCGGCAUUCGCAUUGCCGAGUCUCGGGUUCGAUUCCCGAUGAGUCCA
This 71-nucleotide transfer RNA is filed under the name Candidatus Wolfebacteria bacterium CG_4_10_14_0_8_um_filter_37_11. RNAcentral describes it as "tRNA-Ala". It matches the Rfam family "tRNA". From Rfam's summary of the family: Transfer RNA (tRNA) molecules are approximately 80 nucleotides in length. Their secondary structure includes four short double-helical elements and three loops (D, anti-codon, and T loops). The record is from RNAcentral. Lineage: Bacteria; Candidatus Wolfeibacteriota. RNAcentral also lists the same sequence under 1 other name.